Molecule: non-coding RNA, 85 nt
Organism: Paramuricea clavata
Lineage: Eukaryota; Metazoa; Cnidaria; Anthozoa; Malacalcyonacea; Plexauridae
Source: the annotation of a GenBank genome assembly
CCUAAUAGCGCAAUCCACCGGAUAUAUAGUGACUUUUUCAACGGUUGAAAAAGUCACUAUAUAUCCGGUGGAUAGCGCUAUUAGG